AAAAAAUCAAGGAACCAGCCUCUUAUCAGAGUAAGCUAACACAGCCAUGGGAGAAGGAGUUGGAUUCUGGGCUGACUUGUGCAUCAUCAACAGGAGAUUACCCGGAUGUAACUUCUGAAUUACAGGUCACUUUUGCCAUAACACCAGCACACUGCCUGAGUAAAAGGUUUCUGAACUGAGAAAGGGUGUGGAAAUCAGUAGGGUGGAAAGAAUCACCCCCAAGGCCAUAGGUUUUGUGACCAGAAAAUAACAUGAAAGUCAAAUGGGAUAAAGAAGCAGCACAAUGAAUCACAGCCAGUGAAUGAAUUCGGCUUGGAAAAGAAACCUCCAGCUGUGAUCCACCUGAGAAAUGCUGCAGGACAAAAACUCAAAACAAAAAGGAGAGAAGGAAAAGCAACAACAACACUGGAAGAUUAGGAUGAUACUGAAUUGUUUUUCAGAUCAAUGUUUUCUCUGACCUCAGUUUCAUGUUUCAGCAUGUCUAAUAUCAGCAACGUACAAGUGAGAUGGGGGGAUGGGGUAGACGUGAGUCUGAAAUGAGGGACAGCCAGGAGAGCUGAAAAAAAAUGGUAGUGUCAUUCCAGAUCCUAGCAGACAAUUUGUCAGUUUUCCAACCCAUUGUGUAAUCGGGCACAGUAAAAUAUGACUGACAGUUUCCAAUCCAUCAGUCUCCAAGGCAAGGACUGGAACAGCAGGAGCAUUGCAAAUCAGCAUUUACGUGGAUUGGCAGAGAUGUGUAGGGGAAGCUCAUCCAACACUGUGAAUGGCUCUAACUGAUCCUGUGUCAGUCCCUUAUGCUUGUGAUCUAGAUAAAGUCAUGAGCAAUAGGACAAAAUAAUUCACGAAGAAUGAACCCAUGCAGAAAAAGCUUAUUGUGUUUUUUUUCUUUUAAAUCAAAAACAGAAUUACAAAAUGAGCAGACAAAGGAAAACUGGACUUAGUUCCAAAUUAGUUUGGCUAUGAAUUCAGGUGACUAGAUUCACUAAGAAUUAUAAACAAAGUAAAUUGAUAAAAAGCAACACAGGGUGUGUCUACACUGCAAUUAAACACUAGCAGCUCGCCCAUGUCAGCUGACUUGGGCACCCAGGGCUUGGGUUGCGGGGCUUGAAAAUUGCGGUGUAGACAUUUGGUCUUGGGCUGAAGCCUGCACUCUGGUGUUACCUGAGUUUUUCAGAACCCCCAGCAGAGGCAACUUAACUAUUUCUCUCUAGGCAGCGUCAGGAAUAAAUCAAUAGGAAAACAGCAAUGCUGUCUGAUCAAGGAUUAAAUGCAAGUAAGCGUGCUUUUGUCUAACACUGCAGUUUAUUAGAUUUAAACACACAGGCA
This is a non-coding RNA of Chelonoidis abingdonii (Abingdon island giant tortoise), 1326 nucleotides long. Lineage: Eukaryota; Metazoa; Chordata; Testudines; Testudinidae. The record is from RefSeq and is a predicted model, not a curated record.